This 694-nucleotide ribosomal RNA is filed under the name uncultured Bacteroidales bacterium. RNAcentral describes it as "bacterial SSU rRNA". It matches the Rfam family "Bacterial small subunit ribosomal RNA", at positions 32 to 715 of the family's 1533-position model. The record is from RNAcentral. Lineage: Bacteria; Pseudomonadati; Bacteroidota; Bacteroidia; Bacteroidales.
AACGCUAGCUACAGGCUUAACACAUGCAAGUCGAGGGGCAUCGGGAAGUUAGCUUGCUAACUUUGCCGGCGACCGGCGCACGGGUGAGUAACGCGUAUCCAACCUUCCCUAUAGUAGAGGAUAGCCCGGAGAAAUUCGGAUUAAUACUCUAUGUUCUUCCAUGCGGACAUCUAAUUGGAAGCAAAGGUUCACCGCUAUAGGAUGGGGAUGCGUCUGAUUAGAUAGUAGGCGGGGUAACGGCCCACCUAGUCGACGAUCAGUAGGGGUUCUGAGAGGAAGGUCCCCCACAUUGGAACUGAGACACGGUCCAAACUCCUACGGGAGGCAGCAGUGAGGAAUAUUGGUCAAUGGGCGAGAGCCUGAACCAGCCAAGUAGCGUGCAGGAUGACGGCCCUAUGGGUUGUAAACUGCUUUUAUACGGGGAUAAAGUGUACCACGUGUGGUGUUUUGUAGGUACCGUAUGAAUAAGGACCGGCUAAUUCCGUGCCAGCAGCCGCGGUAAUACGGAAGGUCCGGGCGUUAUCCGGAUUUAUUGGGUUUAAAGGGAGCGCAGGCCGAAGGUUAAGCGUGACGUGAAAUGUAGCCGCUCAACGGCUGAACUGCGUCGCGAACUGGCUUUCUUGAGUGAGUUCGAUGUGGGCGGAAUUCGUGGUGUAGCGGUGAAAUGCUUAGAUAUCACGAAGAACUCCGAUUG